RNAcentral lists this ribosomal RNA (482 nucleotides) under uncultured bacterium. RNAcentral describes it as "bacterial SSU rRNA". It matches the Rfam family "Bacterial small subunit ribosomal RNA", at positions 28 to 526 of the family's 1533-position model. The record is from RNAcentral.
GACGAACGCUGGCGGCGUGCCUAAUACAUGCAAGUCGAACGCCCUCGACCUUCGGGUCAUAUGAGGGAGUGGCGAACGGGUGCGUAACACGUGAGAAACCUGCCCUAGAGACGGGAAUAACUCGAGGAAACUCGUGCUAAUGCCCGAUGCCCUCUUCGGACCGCAUGGUCCAUUGAGGAAAGGCUCCGGCGCUCUAGGAGGGUCUCGCGGCCUAUCAGCUUGUUGGUGAGGUAACGGCUCACCAAGGCAUCGACGGGUAGCUGGUCUGAGAGGACGAUCAGCCACACUGGGACUGAGACACGGCCCAGACUCCUACGGGAGGCAGCAGUAGGGAAUCUUGCGCAAUGGGCGAAAGCCUGACGCAGCAACGCCGCGUGGGGGAUGAAGGCCUUCGGGUCGUAAACCCCUUUCAGCAGGGACGAAAAUGACGGUACCUGCAGAAGAAGGUCCGGCCAACUACGUGCCAGCCGCCGCGGUAACAC